UGUGAGGGGAGCGGCAGCGGGGGGCGAUGGAGGAGGGCGGGGGCUGCUGCGGCUGAAGGGGAGCGGGGAACGGGGGUCCGGGACAUCCCCGAGGAGAGCGGGAGCGGGCACGGAGCCGGGAAGGAGCUGCGGGGCCGGGGCCGCCCGGCAGAGCCUUUCCCGGGAAGCAAAACCUGCGGUUUCUCCCGCCUUGGCCCCGUGGCCGAUGCAGCAGCAUCUGAGCAGAUCUGUGCAGCCUAAAGUACAAAUGAAGAAGAUAUUGGGAGUACCUGUUUGUUCACCUGUUGUGCUUGGAAGAGAUGUGAAACUGCAGGGAAGCUGCGCUCGCCGUAGUGACCGGAGGGAGAAGCACCUUGUACAGCUCAUCCAUCUUGCUGGCCCCUGGCGUCGUCCUUUCCCCUCUGGCUCCUUGUUUCCCUCUUGUCCAAUCAAGGACAGAAUCCCUCUGUCCUUGCUGUGUGUUCUGCGCUCAGAAAUUAUAAAAUAAUUUAAUAUAUUAAAUAUAUUUUAAUAUCUGUUAUGUAUUAUGUGUAUAAAUAAAGAACAUCAAUAUGAUAGAAAUAAAUAUUAGAAAUAUUUAAAUCAA
Molecule: long non-coding RNA, 586 nt
Organism: Poecile atricapillus (Black-capped chickadee)
Lineage: Eukaryota; Metazoa; Chordata; Aves; Passeriformes; Paridae
Exons: 2
Source: RefSeq, a predicted model, not a curated record